UACGGAGGGGGCAAGCGUUGUUCGGAAUUACUGGGCGUAAAGGGUGCGUAGGCGGCUUUCUAAGUUGGAUGUGAAAACUCUGGGCUCAACCCAGAGCCUGCAUCCAAAACUGGAGAGCUAGGGUUCUGGAGGGGAAAGCGGAAUUCCUGGUGUAGCGGUGAAAUGCGUAGAUAUCAGGAGGAACACCGGUGGCGAAGGCGGCUUUCUGGACAGAUACCGACGCUGAGGCACGAAAGCUAGGGGAGCAAACAGG
Molecule: ribosomal RNA, 253 nt
Filed under: uncultured bacterium
Lineage: Bacteria
Description: partial 16S ribosomal RNA
Rfam family: Bacterial small subunit ribosomal RNA
Source: RNAcentral